Molecule: long non-coding RNA, 5488 nt
Filed under: Theobroma cacao (cacao)
Lineage: Eukaryota; Viridiplantae; Streptophyta; Magnoliopsida; Malvales; Malvaceae
Description: long non-coding RNA (TCAC_LNC000175)
Source: RNAcentral
AACAAAUUAAUCUUGGUGAGGACACUAAAGCAAACUAAACGCCCGCCUAACCGCUAAAACUGCUCACACCUUACACCUUUCUUCACCAAAGUAAGCUAAACACCGCCUACCUGCUCACACGCUAAAUCCAGUACCACCUCCCUCACUCCCAUCUCACCAUUCCUCUCACGCCAAACGUGAGUGAUUUUCCACUUAAACAUGACUAGUUGACGUAAGCAGUUGAGCUUAAUGGAAUUUUUGUUCAAUAUUACUUAUGAAGAACGUUCCUCAAUGGCCAGAAGAUAAAGAAGGAUCUCACCCUGAAGACUCCUAAAAGCAGUCAUCCCCCUUGCUUUUCCCUGCAAAAUUCCUAACCGUUGUACAUGAUACAGCUCAUGACACAUUAAACACACAGAACCUCACCAAAUCUCAUGAGCCACCCAAUUCCCCACUCCCCCUUUUCCCUUUUAAACCCCUCCCUAAAAGUAAAAACAAACACCCCUGAACAGUAGUUCGUACCCAAAUGCUGAUGGAGACUAGAGCAAAAAUCAGCCACACGAACCCAAGCGCCUCACAGUAAUCUGUCUGAUUAAAUCCCUAUCCCCUCUCCAAGCUUUCUUUUGAACCCAGUUUCCACCUAAGGGGAUUCAUGAAAAAGAUAAGGAAAACCCCUUGAUGACCCAGAGCCAGACCAAGUCAUACCCCUCCUUCAAGUUUCAUUUCAAUUUCCGUUUUAUUAUUAUUUUUCCCUUUUUUUCUUUUUCUUUUCAUCUCACUUUUUCUCUUUUCUUUUUUUUUAUACCUCAUAUACUGAAUAAUACCGAUGGAAACUGGGAAUAGAAGCAUAAUGCAAACAGUGAAGUUGCUAGUACCUAGCCGGAAAGGUCAACUUACCAAAAUAUGUUUUUUUAUAGACCUUGGUAAGAUAGUUUAUUAUAUAUUGCGAGCCAUGUCACCAGCACCCAGAAGAACUGCAGCAUAGAAAUUUAUUUAGAGCUUAAUACUACCCUGCAACUUUGGACCCAUGAAAUCUGCUGAAAGAAGAUCAACCAAAGCAUCAAAAGCCCAGCAGAUGAGGCAUUUAGUGUUGUUGAUAAUGCUGGCAACAAGUUAUUGUCAGUUGAAAACAGCAGCACGACUUGUAUACUGUCAGUUGAAAACAGCAGCAAGACUUGUACGUGGAAGUUGAAAACGUGAUGCUGUAUUCAGUUAUUUUUUAUCAUGCUUUUAUUUUGUAACUUCUUAUAACUAUCAAGUAACUAGUGGGCUGUAUAUAUUUGUUUGGAUUAUGAAUGAAGUGUGUGCUUUUCCUUCAAUUUUCAAUACUCUGUUCAUCCCUGUUCUAUCCAACUAAAACAGAUGCUUCCUAACAUGAGCCAUACUUUUCAUUCCCCUUAAUUUAUCAUGGUAUCAAAGCUAAUACUAAGCUCUGGAGGGACCUGAAACAUACCACCAACCAAAUUCACAACUUUAACAACACUGCAAAUUGAUAGUAAUAUGUCUAUCUCCAACACAGCUUCACACCCGUCACUUUCCACCCUCAAUAGUGAAAACUAUACAUCCUGGUCAAUUAAAAUGAAAGCUUACUUACAAGCUUAUGACCUAUGAGACAUUGUCAAGUCAGGUUCGGAGCCUCCUGCCUUGAAAGAAACGGCAACACUUGCUCAAGUCAAACAACAUGGGGAAGAAGUUGCUAAACGGUAUCGAGCUCUGUCCUUUCUCCAUGCAUGUCUCACGGAACCGGCGUUUGCAAGAAUUAUGGCUUGUUCCACUGUAAAUGAGGCUUGGGACAGACUUAGAGAUGAGUUCCAAGGUUUUGACAAGACAAGGCAACUUCAAAUUCUCAAUCUUAUGAGAGAAUUUGAAAUUCUUCGGAUGAAAGAGUCUGACUCAGUGAAGGAGUACAUUGGAAAAGUGAUGAAAAUAGUCAAUCAAGUAAGAUUUUUGGGAGAAAAUCUACUUGAAAAAAGAGUUGUAGAGAAAGUGUUGAUAUCCUUACCCGAAAGGUUUGAACCCACAAUUUCAUCACUUGAAGGUUCAAAGGAUCUUCUACAACUGCAACUCACAGAUGUAGUCAAUGCUCUCCAAGCAUCAGACAAUAGGAGAGCCAUGCGUCUUGACAGCAACACAGAUCAUGCUAUGGUGGCCAAGAUGAAAGGAAAAGGCUCAGUUGAUGCUUACAACAGUAAAGGUUCAAAUGAACAGAAAGACAGAGGGAAAAAGAAUUCUCAUACCAAUAGAUCAUAGGGCAAGAAGAAUAACCAUCAAAUGUGUUCCCAUUGCAAAAAGCAUAACCAUGCAGAAGCCAACUGCUGGUUCAGACCUUCAACUAAGUGCCGAAUCUGUAAUCAGCAUGGUCAUAUAGACAAGGUGUGCAAGAAUAAGUCUGAAAAUCGAGAGAAAUCUCCUCAAGCAUUUGAGAGAACUGAGAUUGCUGAAGAAACAUUUUUGAUGGCUCAGACAGAACCAAAAGUUGUUGAAGCAAAUCAGUGGUUAUUAGAUAGUGGAGCUUCAAGUCACAUGACACCAUAUGUAGAGCUCUUCGCAGAACUUAACACUCAAUACCGAUCGUAUGUGAAAAUAGGUAAUGGGGUGUAUUUGCAAGCAACUGGAAAAGGAUCUGUGCAGACAUGAACCUCUUUGGGUGACAGGUAUGCAUUUAAAGUACUUCUUGUACCUGAAAUUAACCAAAAUCUUUUAAGUGUGGGACAGAUGGUUGAUGAUAAUUAUGCACUCUUGUUUAAAGACCAUUCUUGCAAGAUAUAUGAUCCAAGAGAUAAGUACCUCAUAACAGUUCCAAUGAAAAAAAAGUGUUUUCCAAUAGAUUUCAAUGAUGUGUGUCCGCAUGCUUUUGAAAAUAAGAUGAAUUUGACCUCUUUAUGGCACAAACGCCUUGGGCAUUAUAAUUAUUCCUCCUUGAUUCAGGCCAACACAUCUGGUUUAGUGGAAAAUUUACCCUCACUCACAGAAUCCAAGCAUGUUUGCAGCACUUGUCAAUUUGGAAAAGUCACCAGGAAACCAUAUCCUCAUGCAAGCUCAAGUCAAUCUGUUGAAAAACUUGGUCUAGUUCACACCGAUGUUGGAGGCCCAAUGAGUGAAGUAUCUCUAAAUGGCAGUAAGUUUUUCUUGAUCUUUGUUGAUGAUUUAUCACGCAUGUGCUGGAUUUACUUUAUGAAAACAAAGUCUGAGGUGUUUAGUCACUUCUUGAAUUUCAAAGCUCAAGUUGAAGUUGAAACAGGAAGAAAGAUUAAAGCAAUCAGGUCUGAUAAUGGUGAAGAAUACACAUAUCGAGAAUUCACUCAAUUUUUAAAAAAAGAAAGAAUAUUUCAUCAACUCACAGCUCCUUAUUGCCCACAACAAAAUGGUGUUAGUGACAGGAAAAAUCGAACAAUAGUUGAGAUGGUGAGAUGUCUCUUGUUGGAAAAAGGACUUUCUAAAAGCUUCUGGGUCGAGGCUGCCAGUACAGCUAUUUAUCUGUUAAAUCGGUUGCCUUCUCGUGCACUCAAAAAUACCACUCCUUAUGAAGUAUGGUUUGAAAGAAAACCAUUUGUAUCACAUCUCAAAGUCUUUGGAUGUCUUUGUUACCAGCAUAUACCUGAAGAGCACAGAGAUAAGUUGCAAUCCAAAGCUGUAAUGGGAGUGUUUAUUGGUUAUAGUCAGCACUCAAAGGCAUAUAGAGUGUAUCAUGUUAAUUCUGGUAAAAUCUUUGUCAGCAGGAAUGUAUCGUUUGAUGAAGGAAGUAGUUGGAACUAGGACAAACCUCAACAUACCAGAGUUAAUGCCACAAACACUUUAUCUGCUCUUCAAAAUAUUUCUGAUAUUGAGUUAGAUGAAGAUGAGCUUAUUGAUGAAGCACCAAUUAGAGGUACUCGCACAAUUCAAGACAUUUAUGAGCGAUGUCAAGUGGCCUUAUCUGAUCUUAUUUCUUUUGAAGAUGCCUCACAACAUGAAGAAUGGAUAAAAGCUAUGAGAGAGGAGAUUAAUAUGAUAGAGCAAAAUCAUACUUGGUCAUUGGUAAACAGACCAAUCAAUGGCCAUGUAAUUGAUGUCAAAUGGAUUUUCAAACGAAAAUUCAACUCUGAUGGUAGCCUUAGCAAAAGUAAGGUGAGAUUGGUCGCAAAAGGUUAUUCUUAACUUGCUGGAAUAAACUACCAUGAUACUUUUGCACCAGUGGCAAGACUUGAUACCAUCAGACUUCUCAUAGCUCUCUCUGUUGCACUUGAUUGGAAAAUCUACCACAUGGAUGUUAAGUUUGCUUUUUUGAAUGGUAAAGUCAAUGAAGAAAUAUUCAUCGAGCAGCCAAGAGGAUUUGAAGUUGAUGAUAGACAAAACAAAGUAUAUAAGCUUCACAAAGCAUUAUAUGGACUGAAACAGGCACCACAUGCUCGGUAUAGCAGGAUUGAUGCCUACAUAUUAACUUAAGGCUUUUACAAGAGCUUGAACGAAGCUACUUUGUAUGUGAAGAAAAUAAAAAAUGAAGUGGCAGUAAUUGUGUCUCUUUAUGUUGAUGAUAUCUUGAUUACUGGUGGAAAUCAAGCAAGCAUCGGGGAAUUUAAAUCAGCAAUGAAAAAGGAGUUUCACAUGUCUGAUUUGGGUUAAAUGAAAUAUUUUCUUGGUCUUGAAAUUCAGCAGUCCAAGGAAAGUAUUACUCUUUCUCAAAUCAACUACAUUCAAGAAGUCUUCAAACGUUUCAAGAUGGCAGAAUGUAGGUCAACUUCAACUCCUUUAGUUGCACAUGAAAAGCUAUCUCUCAAUUCUGGUGAAAUACUAGAGAGUCUCAGUGAUUAUCGAAGUCUCAUAGGAUGCCUCCUAUAUAUUUGUUCUACCCGUUCAGAGAUAAUGUUUGCUGUAAGUUAUCUCUCAAGAUUCAUGCAGAGACCAAGUCAACUUCAUCUGGUUGCUACUAAAAGGGUUCUCAGAUAUUUGAGAGGUAUAACCUGUCAUGGGAUAAAUUUCAUCAAAAACAAGACUAUUGAGCUUGUUGGAUUUUCAGAUAAUGAUUGGGGUGGCUGCAACGAUGAUGGUAGAAGCACAUCAGGCUACAUAUAUUUCUUUGGGAAAUGGUCCUUUUUCAUGGAACUCUCACAAGCAGAAUACAGUGGCACAAUCCUUAUCUGAGGUAGAAUAUGUGGCAGCAGCUGAAGCUUCAAAUCAAGCAAUCUGGCUAAGGAAACUUCUACAUGAUCUUGGCAUAGAUCAAAUCAAUCCUACAAAGUUGUUUAUUGAUAACAAGUCUGCAAUCUCCAUGACCAAGAAUCUUGUGUUUCACGGAAGAACCAAGCAUAUCAACAUCAAGUACCAUGCCCUCAAAGAUGCAAAAAAGAAGGGAGAGAUACUUCUGCAAUAUUGCAAAUCAGAAGACUAGGUUGCAGACAUAAUGACCAAGUCUUAGUCUAAGUCAAGGUUUGAACUUAACAAAGAUAAGUUGAUGAUUCAGGUUGCAAGCAUUAAGGAGGAGUGUUGUUGAUAAUGUUGGCAACAGGUUAUUGUCAGUUGAAAAUAGCAGCAU